UACUAUAGCCAUGUUUUGAAUAUUAAAAGUGAGAUUUCAUAUCAGAUAAGGUACAUUCCUGCCCUCCAACAGUUGAUGGGCAGCGGCUGACAGGUUGGAAUUCUUUCUGGUGCUUCAGAAAAGGACAAUGUUUGUGUGGCACUGAUCCCCAUCUCUUCCCAGGUCUGAGAACAGCACAGGCUCUGGAGCCAGGCUAUCUAGGGCUUGAAUCCCAGCUCUGCCGCUCACAAGCGUCAGACCUGGGGUCUGCAUCUGGGGAACCUGCCUAAAACAGAUGCUGCCAUACAUAGUCCCAGGAAGCUGCCCUUAAGAAAGGGAUUCUGGAUGCAGCUCAUUCACCAGCAAGAUGAAAAGGGAGGUCUCAUCUCUGGUGAUCUGGGAGACCCGUCCGUGGGAGCAUCAGCACCACCUAAGAGCACCUGUUUUGGAGCGUAUGUCACACCGAGAAGGAAAGCACCUCACGAGCUGUGGCUCAGCUGUGUCCCCUGGCCGUUACUCUCUGCAUGGCAGCCUUCUGAGUGAUGGGCACAUAGGUAGGUCAGCGAGUCCCCUGGAGGUCAGCCACCUGCUUUUUUCUGGCAGUAAUGUUCGUUUCUUGGUCAGAAAUAAUGUUGUGUGGAAUAUUGUGAGAAUGAAUAAUGCAUUUGUUGCGUCCAUAAAUGGCAUUGCUGGCAGAAGCAUGGCAGGCAGAGAAGGCGAAUCCAAACCGAAAUAGUCCAGUGAGGACAAAUUGUCGCCCCCUCCAUGAUGGAGGAGGUCAGUUAUAUGAAACCUGCUGCCAGGCGGUGUGAUGUGUCACCAGGGGCUCAGCGUUAGCCCGCUGUUGGUAAGGUGGCCCUCAGCAGUGGGAGGUAUCCGGAUGUGCCUUGAUACACGGAAGCCCCUAUGACUGAGCCCAGGUGUGACCCCCAUUCUUGCUUUUUGGCUGCUUUCUGGGCAGUCUGGGGUGGUUGAGGAAGCAGCUGACUCACAGGCACUGAACAAGGCAUCUUAUCUGCCUUAUCAUUUGGGUUCAUGCCUCCCUCCCAAAUGCCGUGCUGCCCUUUGGCAAGCAAACCUGUGGGACGCAUCACACUCUGGGUUUAUUCCAGGAGGGCUAUAUACAUCCCUGUUCCCCAGACCACCAUGUCACCAGUCACCUCUUUUUAUUUCCAAGUCCCUAAACAAACCCAUGCUUUUGAUCAUCUCUCUUUCUGUACAAACUGAACAACCGGCUGAAUCAUUUAAAGUUCUAACCACUGGGAAGAUUGCUGUUCCCCACCUCUGAGUCUGUAAUGCUGGUACAGUCCCUUAAAAGUGAGGCUUGCAUGUUAGCCGGAACCAUCCAUGAGCCAGGUUCAGGAUUUUUCUCUCUUUACCUUUAAAAAAAGUCUUUUCGUAGGGAACUCCUCAUGAGGGUUUAUGUGUGGAUUGAAGGAGACAAGCAACAAGAACAGGUGCUGUGGGAGUGUGAGCGAACCACUCGAGCUCCUUGGACCAUCUGAACCUGCACAGGCUCAGUAUCCCAUAGACCACUUCCACUUCCGCCAGCUUUGUGGCUGAGUGGAUCCAUGCAGCACCCACUUCAUGAUGGGAAGACAGGUCACAAGAUCACUUGGUUUUCCAUUGUCAAGCAUUCAGCAAACCGAGAGCUGUUUCUUAAUGGUUCUCUGCAAAGAAGAUGCGGCUUUAGUUUCAAAAUAGCAAAAUCCUAUGCUGAGACCCUCCCCCUGGGGCUCAUCACAGGCUCCAGAGAGCACUCUGACCUGUCAUAGAUGCUGUGCCCACCAUUAGAUACUCUGGAUCGUAAGAACCAAAUUGCAGAACUGCCUGCUUUGGAUCAGCUUGAGGAUUUUCUCUUGCUCUCUCUCUCUCCCACUCAACACUGACUGCCCUACAGCUUACUUGGUAAAUGAUCAGUCACCUUAAUACAGUGUGGAUUGCUUCCUUCAGACUCAUCUGUUAUGGCCAUGGUCUGGAAGGCUACCAUAUUCCGGGAGUAACCACAGUCAAGAAUCUUUCACUAGACACAGCUCCAAACCAUCGGGGUCCGCUGAAAACUCUCACAGAAAAACAAAAUGCCUCCAUGCCCAUGCUUUCCAGAAGAAACAGCAGAAGCAGGACCUCUGCCCCAUUUUUGUCUUCCAAAUUUUACUUGAGUACUGAACCUACGUUAGAGCCACCAUCCCAAUGUCAAGAGAAUUCAGGAAAGAGAGUUUUAGCCUUCCAGUCUCUGCUGUCAAGCCUAUGGACGUGGACUCUGUCUGUGGAUUGAAUUGUGUCCCCCACAAAAUUCAUAUGUUGAAGUCCUAACCCUCACUACCUCAGAAUGUGACCUUAUUUGGAAAUAGGGUUGUCGCAGAUAUAGUUGGUUAACUUAAGAUGAGGUCAUUAGAGUGGGCACUAAUGCAAUAUGACUGAAGUCCUUAUAGAAAAGGAAAAAUUUGAACACAAAAACAUACAUACACACAUGGAGAAUGUCAUACGAAGCUGAAGACAGAGAUCAGGGUUAUGCUUCUGCAAGCCAAGGAAUAACAAAGAUUUCCAGCAACCACCAGAAGCUAGAGGACAGUCCUGGAACAGAUCCUUUUGUUACAGCCCUCAGA
This is a long non-coding RNA of Aethalodelphis obliquidens (Pacific white-sided dolphin), 2585 nucleotides long. RefSeq lists it as uncharacterized. Lineage: Eukaryota; Metazoa; Chordata; Mammalia; Artiodactyla; Delphinidae. The transcript has 3 exons. The record is from RefSeq and is a predicted model, not a curated record.